Molecule: ribosomal RNA, 327 nt
Filed under: uncultured Omnitrophica bacterium
Lineage: Bacteria; Pseudomonadati; Candidatus Omnitrophota
Description: bacterial SSU rRNA
Rfam family: Bacterial small subunit ribosomal RNA
Source: RNAcentral
AGUGAACGCUGGCGGCGUGGAUUAGGCAUGCAAGUCGAACGAUACCGCAAGGUAUAGUGGCAAAAGGGCGAGUAACACGUGAGUAAUCUACCUUCGUGUGGGGAACAACCUUGGGAAACCGAGGCUAAAACCGCAUAAGACCACGGUCUGGCAUCAGACUGUGAUCAAAUGGGGGGACCGAAAGGCCUCUAGCAUGGAGAUGAGCUCGCGUCCUAUCAGCUUGUUGGCGGGGUAAUGGCCCACCAAGGCUUUUGACGGGUAGCUGGACUGAGAGGUUGGUCAGCCGCAUUGGGACUGAGACACUGCCCAGACUCCUACGGGUGGCAG